RNAcentral lists this ribosomal RNA (2942 nucleotides) under wastewater metagenome. Its description in RNAcentral is "bacterial LSU rRNA". It matches the Rfam family "Bacterial large subunit ribosomal RNA". RNAcentral also lists the same sequence under 1 other name. The record is from RNAcentral.
ACGGCACAGAGUGGAUGCCUCGACUUGUGUAUCCGAUGAAGGACGUGGGAGACUGCGAUAUGCCUCGGUAAGCCGUCAACAGGCGUUAUAACCGGGGAUUUCCGAAUGGGGGAACCCUAAAGAGCGAACCUCUUUAAUCCGUAAUGGAAGGACACUUGCUGAAUUGAAAUAUCUUAGUAAGCAAGGAAAAGAAAUCAAUUGAGAUUCCCUAAGUAGUGACGAGCGAAACGGGAUCAGCCCAAACCUAUGUAAACUUAUGGGUGCAGACCUUGAACAUGGGGGUUGUAAGAGCUAUUUACUGUCUUCUGCAAAGACGGACAAAGCGAUAUUUAGAAUAGGAGAAGGACUUGGGAAGGUCCGCCAAAGAGGGUGAAAGCCCCGUAACCGAAAUUCUUUAUAUCUAUUUGCAAUAGUUUCUUGAGUAGCAUCAGACACGAGAAAUCUGGUGUGAAGCUGGGGAGACCACUCUCCAAGGCUAAAGAGUACACAAGAUCGAUAGUGAACAAGUACUGUAAAGGAAAGGUGAAAAGAACCCCGGGAGGGGAGUGAAAUAGAUCCUGAAACCCUGUGCCAAUGAAGAGUAGGAGCCUGUAUUUAUACGGGUGACUGCGUACUUUUUGUAGAACGGACCAACGAGUUAGCUGUAUGUGGCAAGGUUAAGGGAGAGUAUACCCGGAGCCGUAGGGAAACCGAGUCUGAAUAGGGCGAUUCAGUCACAUGCACUAGACCCGAAACCCAUGCGAGCUACUCAUGUGCAGGCUGAAGGUGUGGUAACACACACUGGAGGGCCGAACCAUUUAGAGCUGCAAGUCUAUUGGAUGACAUGUGAGUAGGAGUGAAAAGCUAAUCGAGCUGGGAGAUAGCUGGUUCUCCGCGAAAUAUAUUUAGGUAUAGCCUCAUAAAGCAACAGUCUGAGGUAGGGCUCUGAUAAGGUGAGCGGGUCGCGAGACUUAGCAAUCCUUGAUAAACUUCGAAUGCAGACUGCCAAGUAUUAUGAGAGUCAGACAGUGACGGAGAAGCGCCAUUGUCAAAAGGGAAACAGCCCAGAUUCCUGUCUAAGGUCCCCAAAUAUACACUCAGUGGAAAAGGAGGUGAGGUUACUGAGACAACCAGGAUGUUGGCUUAGAAGCAGCCACUCAUUCAAAGAGUGCGUAAUAGCUCACUGGUCGAGUGAUCUUGCGCCGAAAAUUCAACGGGGCUUAAGUGUAUUACCGAAGACGGAAACUUCAAUUUUAUUGGAGUGGUAGCGGAGCGUCCUCUAUGCUGAUGAAGGUGAGUCGUAAGGCUUGCUGGAGGUACGAGGAGUGAAAAUGUUGGUAUGAGUAACGCGAACAGAAUGAAAACUUCUGUCACCGAAUGCCCAAGGUUUCCGAUCCAACGUCAGUCGUGGUCGGGUUAGUCGGUCCUAAGGUGUACCCGAAAGGGGAAACCGAUGGAUAGCAGGUUAAUAUUCCUGCACUUCAAAUGUUCGUUAUUACGACGUGGGGACAUAUCGGGUCAUUGGAGAGGGUUAUAGAUCAUCCUCGAAUUAUACAACAGCGGACACUUAGGAAAAUCCGGGUGUCAUUUACGAAAGAGUAUAGUUUCUCUCAAAGUGAAAGCGUAAGCUCGAGCAAUGAGAAGUCCUACAAUGAUUUGGUAUCGAGAAAAGCCACUAAGGAGAAUUAUUUGAAACCGUACCGCAAUCGAACACUCGUGGGCUGGUGUGAGUACACCAAGGUGGACGGGAUAACUAUGCUUAAGGAACUCUGCAAAACAGCGGUCGUAACUUCGGGAUAAGACCUGCCUGGAGAGUAAUUUACUCUUCAGGCCGCAGCUAACGAGCCCAGGCGACUGUUUACCAAAAACACAGCUCUCUGCAAACACGUAAGUGGAAGUAUAGGGGGUGAUGCCUGCCCAGUGCCAGAAGAUUACGGGGAGGGGUGCAAGCUCUGAACUUAAGUCCUGGUGAACGGCGGCCGUAACUAUAACGGUCCUAAGGUAGCGAAAUUCCUUGUCGGGUAAGUUCCGACCCGCACGAAUGGCAUAACGGUCUGGGCACUGUCUCAAGCAUAGUCCCGGUGAAAUUGCAAUAUCGGUAAAAAUGCCGAUUACUCGCAGCAAGACGGAAAGACCCUAUGAAGCUUUACUCUAACUUGGCACUGAUGUAUUCAGUUUGAUGCGCAGGAUAGGUGGGAGACUAUGAAAGAGACCCUCUGGGGUUUCCCGAGUCAUCCUUGAGAUACCACCCUUCACUCUGUGUACAUCUAACCCCAUAUUGGGGGACAGUGCUUGGCGGGGAGUUUAACUGGGGCGGUUGCCUCCUAAAAGAUAACGGAGGCGCACAAAGGUAUGCUAGUCCCGGAUGGAAAUCGGGAUGGUCGUGUAUUCGCAUAAGCAUGCUUAACUGAGAGACCAACAAGUCGAUCAGAUACGAAAGUAGGUGAAAGUGAUCCGGCACCAACAUGUGGGAGUGGUGUCGCUCAACGGAUAAAAGUUACUCUAGGGAUAACAGGCUGAUUCCGUCCAAGAGUUCACAUCGACGACGGAGUUUGGCACCUCGAUGUCGGCUCGUCGCAUCCUGGGGGUGGAGAAGCUCCCAAGGGUAUGGCUGUUCGCCAUUUAAAGCGGUACGCGAGCUGGGUUCAGAACGUCGUGAGACAGUUUGGCCCCUAUCUGCUGUGAGCGUUUAGGAAUUUGAUGGGAUUUGCUCCUAGUACGAGAGGACCGGAGUGAACGAACCUCUGGUGGAUCAGCUGUCGCUCUAGCGGCACUGCUGAGUAGCUACGUUCGGAAUGGAUAACCACUGAAAGCAUCUAAGUGGGAAGCCAAUCCAAAGAUGAGAUUCCUCCAAGAAUUUAUUCUUGAUAAGUGCCCUUGGAGACUACAAGGUUGAUAGGUUGCAGGUGUACGAACAGCGAUGUUCUCAGCCGAGCAAUACUAAUAGCACGAAUGAUAUUUAU